ACGGGGUGCAGCAGGCGCGAAACCUCCGCAAAUAGGAUGUGCAGAGGAUCUUGAGCCCCUGCACAUCCUAGCGGAAUGCGGGAAACCGUGACGGGGUCACCCCGAGUGCCCCGAAGAGGGGCUUUUCCCCGCUGUAAGAAGGCGGGGGAAUAAGCGGGGGGCAAGUCUGGUGUCAGCCGCCGCGGUAAUACCAGCCCCGCGAGUGGUCGGGACGAUUAUUGGGCCUAAAGCGGCCGUAGCCGGCCCGGUAAGUCCCCGCUGAAAUCCUCGGGCUCAACCCGAGGGCGGGCGGGGAUACUGCCGGGCUAGAGGGCGGGAGAGGCCGGGGGUAGUCCCGGGGUAGGGGCGAAAUCCGAUAAUCCCGGGAGGACCACCAGUGGCGAAGGCGCCCGGCUGGAACGCGCCUGACGGUGAGGGCCGAAAGCCGGGGGAGCGAACCGGAUUAGAUACCCGGGUAGUCCCGGCUGUAAACGAUGCGGGCUAGGUGUUGGGCGGACUUAGAGUCCGCCCAGUGCCGCAGGGAAGCCGUUAAGCCCGCCGCCUGGGGAGUAC
This 552-nucleotide ribosomal RNA is filed under the name uncultured archaeon. RNAcentral's name for it is "bacterial SSU rRNA". It matches the Rfam family "Archaeal small subunit ribosomal RNA", at positions 325 to 838 of the family's 1478-position model. The record is from RNAcentral.